GGCUGUAAUUUAGUUCAAUUCAGAACUGCAGAUAGUACAGGCUUCAGAGCAGCCAGAGAUGCCUGUGCACAAGUGCCUGAGCUCCGAGGGACUUUGGGAAACAUUUGGCUAUCCCCCUCCUGCCUGGACCCCGGGACUCUGCACCUGCAGGACAGACAGCCCGGCCGCCGCCUCUGCCGUGCCUCCGGGGACGAGGAACCAGCACAGAUAACCGUUUGGAAAUGGGAUCAUGGCAAAAUUACCAACAAGUCCGUAAAGGAAACUGAAGGCGGUUUGAUCUACACCUUCAAUGCCAGUCCCACAAAGGCUGAAGAAAUAUGUUACGUCUCCAAAGACAUAUACCUCUAAAGAACACAGUCAUGCCCUAAAAUUAGGACAUGAUUCAGCCUUGACGUCUGGAGGCCCACUGCUGCAGGAGCAGCUGGCGUUCCUGUCCUACAGCAGGAAGUUAACCGCGCAUUCCAAAGAGCCCUAAUUGUUUUGAGAUUUUCCUGGCAGCUCAAGAAGCUUGGAUCUUGGAGGGUACACUCUUUUGUACCAACCUCACUUUGGAACCGUACACAAAGGAGUAACUUGUCGCAACCUGAACCACUUAGAGGUAGCAGAUACUGUCUUCCUCCUCAUGGCCAUCACUGCACACGGUGAGCCAGUGCCAAAUGUAGCCGUGCGACGUGCAGAGUGCUUCUGAGAGAGCUAAUGGAGGCCCUGUUCACACAGUGCUCACCAUGGUCUGUUCACCGGAGGACCUCACUCUGCCGCCAUUUUCUCAAGUCGUGCUCUAAAUCGUUGGAAGAAAAUGAAUUAAUAUAAGCUCAGGACCUGAGUCUCACAGUGCUGUGGGAAUCAUUGUGCGCUGGAGAGCCUCACAUAAUGUCCGCAUUAACAGAGACUUUUCAGAUCCUUAUGGAUUUGCUAGAGAUCUCCAAAGGAAGUGCAAAAUUAUUCAUUGCUGGGCAAGCUCGACUAUACUUUGGCUUCACGAAAUAUCUGCAGUGAAGUUUUGAACUGAUAAAAUCUAUAUACUGUUCAAUCAGAAUGCUUUCAUCUUUUUUUAAAGAAUUGAAGAGAAUAACUACUGGAUGGAUUUACUGUGAAUUUAUCAUUGAAAUGGCCACAAAUAAUUAUUACCUUCAUUGUAAGAGCAUUAGUGCUUUUUAUUCAGCAAGUUGAGAAUAAAAUGGAUUUUAGUAACA
RNAcentral lists this long non-coding RNA (1193 nucleotides) under Bos mutus (wild yak). Its description in RNAcentral is "lncRNA (ENSBMUG00000019152.1)". The record is from RNAcentral. Lineage: Eukaryota; Metazoa; Chordata; Mammalia; Artiodactyla; Bovidae.